UGGGGAAUAUUGCACAAUGGGCGAAAGCCUGAUGCAGCAACGCCGCGUGAGUGAUGAAGGUCUUCGGAUUGUAAAGCUCUGUCUUUUGGGACGAUAAUGACGGUACCAAAGGAGGAAGCCACGGCUAACUACGUGCCAGCAGCCGCGGUAAUACGUAGGUGGCGAGCGUUGUCCGGAUUUACUGGGCGUAAAGGGUGCGUAGGCGGAUGUUUAAGUGAGAUGUGAAAUACCCCGGG
RNAcentral lists this ribosomal RNA (236 nucleotides) under uncultured bacterium. RNAcentral's name for it is "partial 16S ribosomal RNA". It matches the Rfam family "Bacterial small subunit ribosomal RNA", at positions 355 to 608 of the family's 1533-position model. The record is from RNAcentral.